RNAcentral lists this ribosomal RNA (460 nucleotides) under uncultured bacterium. Its description in RNAcentral is "partial 16S ribosomal RNA". It matches the Rfam family "Bacterial small subunit ribosomal RNA", at positions 338 to 795 of the family's 1533-position model. The record is from RNAcentral.
CCUACGGGAGGCAGCAGUGAGGAAUAUUGGUCAAUGGACGAGAGUCUGAACCAGCCAAGUAGCGUGAAGGAUGACUGCCCUAUGGGUUGUAAACUUCUUUUAUAUGGGAAUAAAAUGUUCCACGUGUGGUCUUUUGUAUGUACCAUAUGAAUAAGGCUCGGCUAACUCCGUGCCAGCAGCCGCGGUAAUACGGAGGAUCCGAGCGUUAUCCGGAUUUAUUGGGUUUAAAGGGAGCGUAGGUGGAUUGUUAAGUUAGUUGUGAAAGUUUGCGGCUCAACCGUAAAAUUGCAGUUGAAACUGGCAGUCUUGAGUACAGUAGAGGUGGGCGGAAUUCGUGGUGUAGCGGUGAAAUGCUUAGAUAUCACGAAGAACUCCGAUUGCGAAGGCAGCUCACUGGACUGAAACUGACACUGAGGCUCGAAAGUGUGGGUAUCAAACAGGAUUAGAUACCCUUGUAGUC